CCAGAGAUGGAUUGGUGCCUUCGGGAACUGUGAGACAGGUGCUGCAUGGCUGUCGUCAGCUCGUGUUGUGAAAUGUUGGGUUAAGUCCCGCAACGAGCGCAACCCUUAUCCUUUGUUGCCAGCGGUCCGGCCGGGAACUCAAAGGAGACUGCCAGUGAUAAACUGGAGGAAGGUGGGGAUGACGUCAAGUCAUCAUGGCCCUUACGACCAGGGCUACACACGUGCUACAAUGGCGCAUACAAAGAGAAGCGACCUCGCGAGAGCAAGCGGACCUCAUAAAGUGCGUCGUAGUCCGGAUUGGAGUCUGCAACUCGACUCCAUGAAGUCGGAAUCGCUAGUAAUCGUGGAUCAGAAUGCCACGGUGAAUACGUUCCCGGGCCUUGUACACACCGCCCGUCACACCAUGGGAGUGGGUUGCAAAAGAAGUAGGUAGCUUAACCUUCGGGAGGGCGCUUACCACUUUGUGAUUCAUGACUGGGGUGAAGUCGUAACAAGGUAACCGUAGGGGAACC
RNAcentral lists this ribosomal RNA (512 nucleotides) under uncultured bacterium. Its description in RNAcentral is "bacterial SSU rRNA". It matches the Rfam family "Bacterial small subunit ribosomal RNA", at positions 1000 to 1512 of the family's 1533-position model. The record is from RNAcentral.